UUUUAUGAAAAAUACGUUUUGGAAGCUAAGCAGAGUCGGACCUGGGUAGUACUUAGAUGGGAGACCACCUAGGAAGACCGGGUGCUGUAGGCU
Molecule: ribosomal RNA, 93 nt
Filed under: Pteropus alecto (black flying fox)
Lineage: Eukaryota; Metazoa; Chordata; Mammalia; Chiroptera; Pteropodidae
Source: RNAcentral